GUAUCACAGAACUAUGGCCAUCUAUGUUUGUAGCAGAGUGAUGGCUUUUAGGAGGAUUCCCUUGGGGAACAGACACAUGUCCUUCAGAAGAAGGGAAAUCCACACCAGCAGUAAUGUCUAUUUGUGUGGACAUUGAAAGACAUAGAGUCUGGAUUAAACUGAGAAGGGGACUGGACUUGUCUAUGCUUCUCAUCAUUGAGGACCAUAUUAUAGACACUGUCAAGGGUUGGAGGUGACUGCAUCAUCAAUAGGUUACUCCGUACCCCCAUGUAUGCUUCAUUAAGCCCCAUUAGAAACUAAACACCUUAUUCUCAUCAUUUUCCUGUAUUAUACCAUCUUUGGCAGCACAAACACAUCUCUGUCCAUGAUUUGUACACAUAAAUUCUAAUUCAUCCCACAGACCUUUAAGUUUAUUGAAAUAUGAAGCUACAUCUAGGGACCCUUGAGAGGUGUGAGAAAGCUCUCUUUUCAAUUCAAAAAUUUUGGUCAUGUU
Molecule: long non-coding RNA, 493 nt
Filed under: Nicotiana benthamiana
Lineage: Eukaryota; Viridiplantae; Streptophyta; Magnoliopsida; Solanales; Solanaceae
Description: long non-coding RNA (NBEN_LNC031271)
Source: RNAcentral